This 353-nucleotide unclassified non-coding RNA is filed under the name soil metagenome. RNAcentral describes it as "partial contains 5.8S ribosomal RNA, internal transcribed spacer 2, and large subunit ribosomal RNA". The stretch from base 1 to 120 matches the Rfam family "5.8S ribosomal RNA", at positions 35 to 154 of the family's 154-position model. The record is from RNAcentral.
GAUGAAGAACGUAUCGAAAUGCGAUAACUAAUGUGAAUUGCAGAAUUCAGUGAAUCAUCGAGUCUUUGAACGCACAUUGCGCCCUCUGGUAUUCCGGAGGGCAUGCCUGUCCGAGCGUCAUUGCUGCCCUCAAGCACGGCUUGUGUGUUGGGCCCCCGUCCCCCCCUCUGCCGGGGGGACGGGCCCGAAAGGCAGCGGCGGCACCGCGUCCGGUCCUCGAGCGUAUGGGGCUUCGUCACCCGCUCUUGUAGGCCCGGCCGGCGCCAGCCGACCCCAACCCUAAAUUUUUUUCAGGUUGACCUCGGAUCAGGUAGGGAUACCCGCUGAACUUAAGCAUAUCAAUAAGCGGAGGA